This 492-nucleotide ribosomal RNA is filed under the name uncultured bacterium. Its description in RNAcentral is "partial 16S ribosomal RNA". It matches the Rfam family "Bacterial small subunit ribosomal RNA", at positions 28 to 507 of the family's 1533-position model. The record is from RNAcentral.
GAUGAACGCUAGCUACAGGCUUAACACAUGCAAGUCGAGGGGAAACGACAUCGAAAGCUUGCUUUUGAUGGGCGUCGACCGGCGCACGGGUGAGUAACGCGUAUCCAACCUGCCCACCACUUGGGGAUAACCUUGCGAAAGUAAGACUAAAACCCAAUGACGUCUCUAGAAGACAUCUGAAAGAGAUUAAAGAUUUAUCGGUGAUGGAUGGGGAUGCGUCUGAUUAGCUUGUUGGCGGGGUAACGGCCCACCAAGGCGACGAUCAGUAGGGGUUCUGAGAGGAAGGUCCCCCACAUUGGAACUGAGACACGGUCCAAACUCCUACGGGAGGCAGCAGUGAGGAAUAUUGGUCAAUGGACGAGAGUCUGAACCAGCCAAGUAGCGUGCAGGAUGACGGCCCUAUGGGUUGUAAACUGCUUUUAUAAGGGAAUAAAGUGAGUCUCGUGAGACUUUUUGCAUGUACCUUAUGAAUAAGGACCGGCUAAUUCCGUG